UAAUACAGAGGGUGCGAGCGUUAAUCGGAAUUACUGGGCGUAAAGGGUGUGUAGGUGGCAAGGCAAGUUAGAUGUGAAAUCCCCGGGCUCAACCUGGGAAUUGCGUUUAAAACUGCUUAGCUAGAGUAUUGUAGAGGAUAGUGGAAUUUCCAGUGUAGCGGUGAAAUGCGUAGAUAUUGGAAGGAACACCAGUGGCGAAGGCGACUAUCUGGACAGAUACUGACACUGAGACACGAAAGCAUGGGGAGCAAACAGG
RNAcentral lists this ribosomal RNA (256 nucleotides) under uncultured bacterium. RNAcentral's name for it is "partial 16S ribosomal RNA". It matches the Rfam family "Bacterial small subunit ribosomal RNA", at positions 521 to 776 of the family's 1533-position model. The record is from RNAcentral.